Molecule: ribosomal RNA, 490 nt
Filed under: uncultured soil bacterium
Lineage: Bacteria
Description: bacterial SSU rRNA
Rfam family: Bacterial small subunit ribosomal RNA
Source: RNAcentral
AGAUUGAACGCUGGCGGCAUGCUUUACACAUGCAAGUCGAACGGCAGCACGGGGGCAACCCUGGUGGCGAGUGGCGAACGGGUGAGUAAUAUAUCGGAACGUACCCGGAAAUGGGGGAUAACGUAGCGAAAGUUACGCUAAUACCGCAUAUGCCCUGAGGGGGAAAGCGGGGGAUUCGUAAGAGCCUCGCGUUUUCGGAGCGGCCGAUAUCGGAUUAGCUAGUAGGUGAGGUAAAGGCUCACCUAGGCGACGAUCCGUAGCUGGUCUGAGAGGACGACCAGCCACACUGGAACUGAGACACGGUCCAGACUCCUACGGGAGGCAGCAGUGGGAAUUUGGACAAUGGGCGCAAGCCUGAUCCAGCCAUGCCGCGUGAGUGAAGAAGGCCUUGGGUUGUAAAGUCUCGUUUCAGUACCGGAAAGAAACGACGACGGUUAAUACCCGUAGUACGUGGUACUGACGGUACCGAAGAAGUAAGCACCGGACUAAC